This is a long non-coding RNA of Leucoraja erinaceus (little skate), 102 nucleotides long. RefSeq lists it as uncharacterized. Lineage: Eukaryota; Metazoa; Chordata; Chondrichthyes; Rajiformes; Rajidae. The record is from RefSeq and is a predicted model, not a curated record. The transcript is spliced from 3 exons.
AGAAUUAGAAAAACUAAGGAAAUCACUCACGAAUUAUGAGGAGAACUGGAGCACUGAAAGCAAAGAACUACAAAGGUUGAAAGACUCCUUCCUUGACCAAGG